GGGCAUUUGGCAAAGGAUGCUGCUCUCAGAACCGUGGCUUCUGCUCCUCACCAGUGCGUCUCUAGCCUGGGGCUCCUAUUUUCCCUAGAGGGACCCUGGAAAAUGGGACGGCUGCCGAAGAGAAGGCGAAGGUCAGGGCGCGGAGCUCUACGGUAACCACGCGACGCGUAGUGGGAGAGUGCGAACCUUAUGGUAGCGCCCGGACUAAGCGGACACAGACCCCUCUGGUUUUACAAAGGCGGCUGUGACGAGGACUUCCCACGGCCUUGUUGGAGGGCGUCCUGUUAGCCCUGCUCAGCCUGAAUAACUCAAAUUCUCCGAAUUCGCAGGGUAAUCCGCUUCGCUUGGAGCCGUGUAAACUCAGGCUGACAUACACACUCAAGCUGUAUAUGUAAAUAUUUGUUCUCUUUUCCAGCCAGUCGGUCUGGCUAUUAGAAGCCUCUUCGUGGGUCUUAAAAUUAAAAUAAUAAUAAUAAUUUUUAAAACUCCAACUUUUCACUGCACCACCCCCUACUCCUGAAAUAAAUUUGUGAGGGAAAACGGCAAGUUAAAAUAGCUGUCGAAAACGUUUGUGUGAACAAAAUGAUGACAUCUGGAAGAGUCGUGAUUUCAGCCUGUCUUGGUCAUCGUGUGUCAAUAGUUUUUAACAAGGUGCUGGAUGAAGGUGACUAAAAAAUGCAUUCUCAUAUCACUAUCGAAGUUCGAAGUGUCGAUUUAUAAAUGUUUGAGGAAAUUCGUAAAACCAUAGACUUUGGUGCUGGAAGGAAUUUACGCUGUCUUCUAGCCGGUCUCCAUGUGCGUUUGAGAGAGAAAAACAGGGCCCGACGUGGCAGAGCGCGCAUCUCCCCCCAGUCCACCUCAGCGGCUAGAAGCAGACGGAAGGGCAGGACUCACACUCCGGGCCCCGACCCUCAUCAGCCCCUGGCCCUGCAGCUGUGGCUGGGCUGUUAGCUGAAGAGCCAGAGUAGAGUUAACGACGGCUGGCAAGCAGAGGGCUUUCAGAUUAAACCGCAGGAUGCAUCUGAGGAUCCGUUUCUAUUCUUAAAUUUUUUGCUGGUUUUGGACAACCCAGACCCAAUCCAGACCCCUUUUUUGGUUAUUAAAGUCCCCCGCCCCAACCUGUCUCUCCCCAGACACACCUUCUCAAUGUAAGUGACAUUUCUUUGUAUUGAGUGGAAGGCACACACUGAUUCCUUUCCUAUAUCAAAUGCUUAGGAUUUGUCCAGAAAGAAAGAUUUCCCUCAAGAAGUGGGGAUUUUGGAAGGUCGGGGAAUGUUAUGGUUAGUCUAGACCUUGAUAUAUGCUUCAACAGGGUGUGGCAAACCUUGUUAGCUGAAUUUAGUUUUCAAAAACUUGCCGCAAAAUUAUACUUCAUAAAAAAACCCUUUUGAUUGUUUUUCUACACAGAGGAAAACAACUGUGUCUUUUCUUAAUUACCUCAAUGAUUUUGACUGGAAUAUGAAUAAUAUCAUGAGAGGAACAUUUUCAGAAAAUUUGAUGAAGCAAGGGAAAAACUGAAUUGCCACAAAUCUGUUUCCUCCUCCUUUCCAAGUGCCUACGCGGCCUUAGCCCAGCUCUGUGUCUCUUGUGUGCAGGAAACCCCGACUGCGCAUCCUACUACAGGUAAAAUACUAUACAAGAAAAGAUGAGUGAUCGUUAGGAGGCAGGCGGCAAACGAGAGGUAUUGAAAAGGCCACUUUAAACAAAUCCGGGUGACCCGUUUGGGGAUCUCUAGGCUAUGCAUCUUGUUGGUGUUGAAACCUCGGCAGUAAAACAUAUGCUGCAACAUUAUUAUCGGGGGCACACCGUCCCUCCUCCUAGAUUUAUUGCCUUUGCAAAUCAAUAUGAUGCCAUAAAAACGGGGAACCGGUUCUGGGCAGAGAGGUGCUGUCGAAGGAUGAUUCAAAGCCUUCCCAAAGCGGAGAGUGGGGAGUUCUGAGGUCCCUUCAAAACGCCACUGAUAGCGCAGGUUAACAGGUAAAACCACCCGGGGGUUGGAACAAAACAAGCACGUUAACACAUCUCUCUAGGCCCUUCUCAGGCUGACUGCUGGCAGCGGAAGCUGCUGAAGUCUUAAUGUUAACUUUAACACACGCAUUAGCCCGGAGACUUUGUGUAGGUUACUAAACCUCUCAAAGCUUCAGUUUCUUCAUCUGCGUUAGAAUAGGGCCAAUAGUUCAUUCCUACCUGGAAGAUAGCUCUUUGGAUUAAUGCCCUAAUGUGUAUAAAAAGCCUAACACUCACAAUAAACCCAACAUAAGUAAAGCA
This is a long non-coding RNA of Homo sapiens (human), 2268 nucleotides long. Lineage: Eukaryota; Metazoa; Chordata; Mammalia; Primates; Hominidae. The record is from Ensembl.